This 33-nucleotide ribosomal RNA is filed under the name Mucor genevensis. Its description in RNAcentral is "partial 28S ribosomal RNA". Lineage: Eukaryota; Fungi; Mucoromycota; Mucoromycetes; Mucorales; Mucoraceae. The record is from RNAcentral.
UUGAUCUGAAAUCAGGCGGGAUUACCCGCUGAA